CCCUUAGACGUUCUGGGCCGCACGCGCGCUACACUGACCGGUGCAACAAGCAUCCGUCCUUGGCCGACAGGCCCAGGCAAUCUUUGAACGCCGGUCGUGAUGGGGAUAGACUUUUGCAAUUUUUGGUCUUCAACGAGGAAUUCCUAGUAAACGCAAGUCAUCAACUUGCAUUGAUUACGUCCCUGCCCUUUGUACACACCGCCCGUCGCACCUACCGAUUGAAUGGUCCGGUGAAGCCUCCGGAUUGGCGUGCACCUCAGUGCCGCCGAGAAGUUGGCUAAACCUUACCAUUUAGAGGAAGGUGAAGUCGUAACA
RNAcentral lists this ribosomal RNA (315 nucleotides) under uncultured eukaryote. RNAcentral describes it as "partial 18S ribosomal RNA". It matches the Rfam family "Eukaryotic small subunit ribosomal RNA", at positions 1470 to 1796 of the family's 1831-position model. The record is from RNAcentral.